AUUGAACGCUGGCGGCAGGCCUAACACAUGCAAGUCGAACGAGUGGCGGACGGGUGAGUAAUGUCUGGGAAACUGCCUGAUGGAGGGGGAUAACUACUGGGCACCGUAGCUACUAACGCAUACAUUACUAUGUGCCCAGGUGGGAUUAGCUAGUUGGGGGGGUAACGGCUCACCAAGGCGACGAUCCCUAGCUGGUCUGAGAGGAUGCCCAGUCACACUGGAACGGAGACACGGUCCAGACUCCUACGGGAGGCAGCGGUGGGGAAUAUUGCACAAUGGGCGAAAGCCUGAUGCAGCCAUGCCGCGUGUAUGAAGAAGGCCUUCGGGUUGUAAAGUACUUUAAGCGGGGAGGCGUUACCCGCAGAAGAAGCACCGGCUAACUCCGUGCCAGCAGCCGCGGUAAUAC
This 406-nucleotide ribosomal RNA is filed under the name uncultured bacterium. RNAcentral describes it as "partial 16S ribosomal RNA". It matches the Rfam family "Bacterial small subunit ribosomal RNA", at positions 30 to 526 of the family's 1533-position model. The record is from RNAcentral.